Molecule: ribosomal RNA, 589 nt
Filed under: Vishniacozyma victoriae
Lineage: Eukaryota; Fungi; Basidiomycota; Tremellomycetes; Tremellales; Bulleribasidiaceae
Description: eukaryotic LSU rRNA
Rfam family: Eukaryotic large subunit ribosomal RNA
Source: RNAcentral
UUAGUACGGCGAGUGAACCGGGAUGAGCUCAAAUUUAAAAUCUGGCGUCUUUCAGGCGUCCGAGUUGUAAUCUAUAGAGGCGUUUUCCGCGCCGGACCGCGUCCAAGUCUCUUGGAAUAGAGUAUCAAAGAGGGUGACAAUCCCGUACUUGACGCGACAACCGGUGCUCUGUGAUACGUUCUCAAUGAGUCGAGUUGUUUGGGAAUGCAGCUCUAAAUGGGUGGUAAAUUCCAUCUAAGGCUAAAUAUUGGCGAGAGACCGAUAGCGAACAAGUACCGUGAGGGAAAGAUGAAAAGCACUUUGGAAAGAGAGUUAAACAGCACGUGAAAUUGUUAAAAGGGAAACGAUUGAAGUCAGUCGUGUGAAAGGUAUUCAGCCGUCUCUGGCGGUGUAUUUGCCUUUCACGGGUCAACAUCAGUUUGAUCCGGUAGAAAAAGGCAGGAUGAAGGUGGCACCCUCGGGUGUGUUAUAGCUUCCUGUCAUAUGUGCCGGACCAGACUGAGGAACGCAGCUUGCCGCAAGGCCGGGGUUCGCCCACGUACAAGCUUAGGAUGUUGACAUAAUGGCUUUAAACGACCCGUCUUGAACC